GGUUCAAGUCCCUCUAUCCCCAAAAGUUUUUUUCACUUUUUAA
RNAcentral lists this transfer RNA (43 nucleotides) under Silene schwarzenbergeri. RNAcentral describes it as "tRNA-L2". The record is from RNAcentral. Lineage: Eukaryota; Viridiplantae; Streptophyta; Magnoliopsida; Caryophyllales; Caryophyllaceae.